CCCGGGUCUUGUACACACCGCCCGUCACACCGUGGGAGUGGGUUUCACCAGAAGUAGGUAGUCUAACCGCAAGGAGGGCGCUUACCACGGUGGGAUUCAUGACUGGGGUG
Molecule: ribosomal RNA, 110 nt
Filed under: uncultured bacterium
Lineage: Bacteria
Description: partial 16S ribosomal RNA
Rfam family: Bacterial small subunit ribosomal RNA
Source: RNAcentral